CAACCAUGUCUUUCCAAAACAUAUUUCCAGUUCAGACAACAGAAUGAGUUUUGGCUUUAGGUACAAAAUGAUAUUUCUUCUGUUUCUUGUAGUCAAAUUUCUGAAAAACAUGCCUUAUUUUAGAUGGAUUAAAAUGAAACAGGAAACAGUUGAUGGUUCCAUUCAAAUAUUAAUGUCCUCUGCAUUUCUGCUUAAUUUCAAAAUAUCAUUUUAAGAUAUUUUUGUUUCUCUUUGUCCAGCUACUAUUAUUAUGUCUCAUAUCCUCUAACAUGUAUUUUUUUCCCUCUUUCAGGAAAUAUUGGAAAUUCUUUUAUGAUUGAUCCCAUCUUGGGCUCUAUAAAAACUGCCAAAGAAUUAGAUCGAAGUAACCAAGUGGAAUAUGAUUUAAUGGUGAAAGCUACAGAUAAAGGCAGUCCACCAAUGAGUGAAAUGACUUCUGUGCAUAUCUUUGUCACGAUUGCUGACAAUGCUGCUCCUAAGUUUACAUCAAAAGAAUACUCUGUUGAAAUUAGUGAAAUUACCAGCAUUGGGAGUUUUGUUGGACUAGGAUCCAAUCCAAGGUGGGAAUGUCAAUAGAAGGUCAAAGU
Molecule: long non-coding RNA, 587 nt
Filed under: Marmota monax (woodchuck)
Lineage: Eukaryota; Metazoa; Chordata; Mammalia; Rodentia; Sciuridae
Source: RNAcentral